CGCCGCGGGACACGGCGCGUCCUGUGCCCGCUCCUCUCCCCGCUCCUCUCCCCGCUCCUGCGCCCGGCCGGGAAAAGCCGCCCCCGACGCGUCCGAGCGCAAGGUACACUGGUAAAUAUCUUGAGCAGCCCUGCCUGCAUCAAAGAUUUGUUUGGCUGUGCUCAGCUGUGGACUGAAAGGAGACAGCACAUCGGUUCCCAGUAAAGGUGUGUGUCCUCCAGGAUGUGCUCUGAGGAGUUCAGCAAAAGAGAGGAGGGAGCUUAGCCUGACCAGGGACAUCGUACUCGUGCUGCUGCCUUCUGAUUCCAUAACUCCUUUGUGUGGAUGUCUUUUCCCAGCAGAGUGGAUCAGCUUCUGCCAUUGAGAUUCCUAUUCCACAUCACUGUGUUUACAGUCAACAGUGAGGAAAGGGAUACUUCAAAUUCCCAAAGGUCACAAAAUACUGGGAAAUCAACUCUGGAUCAUGUCUCUCUUAGGAAGUCCCUCAUUUGUGGAAGUGAGCUUGGGCCGGACUUAGUAUGGGAAUCUGCUUCCGUGCCAGCUGUAGGUGCAGUUUUAAGGGUGAACUCCUGCUGUUGUCUGGCAGAGCCCUCACUUAUCCCAGGUGUGCAAGAAACUGUGGACUUCACAUAGACAAGUACUGAUUUCUGGAAUCUUCCCUGAAAUUUGUUCAAGGGUAUGUCCAAGUGCCUGUGACAGAAAGGCUUAGGAAAAUGCAGAGCUGGGAAAGUCUUUCAGGUGAUAUGACCAGAGAUGCCUUGCUAUGUAAAACUAGUUAUAAACCCACAUAAUCUGAGUUAAUAAUAGUAGCACUGAGACAAAACCCAUAUUGUCAAAGAGCAAGUACAUCCCAAGAGAAGCAGGCACAGACUGAAAAGGGUUCUCAAGUGCCUUCUCCCCUGGGAAUCCCAAAUAGCCUGCAGCCAACAAGUGACCUAGAUACAACAAUGUGCUUGCUCCUACAGAAUAAAACUAGGAACAAAAUAAUCCUGUAAAAUUAU
This 1001-nucleotide long non-coding RNA is filed under the name Lepidothrix coronata (blue-crowned manakin). Its description in RNAcentral is "lncRNA (ENSLCOG00000014844.1)". Lineage: Eukaryota; Metazoa; Chordata; Aves; Passeriformes; Pipridae. The record is from RNAcentral.